This is a long non-coding RNA of Asparagus officinalis (garden asparagus), 709 nucleotides long. RefSeq lists it as uncharacterized. The transcript is spliced from 2 exons. Lineage: Eukaryota; Viridiplantae; Streptophyta; Magnoliopsida; Asparagales; Asparagaceae. The record is from RefSeq and is a predicted model, not a curated record.
CGUGACAAGACUGAUUCUCUCUCUCCCCCAAAAAAGCCCCAAUCCCUCCUCCAUCAAGCCCCAAAAUCAACCAACUCCGACGAGCUCCCAAAUCUGCCAUCUCCAACGACUUGAUUUCUCCGACGAGCUCCACAACAUGUUUCUAUAAACAACUACGACGUCACUAGUCCGAUUUCUCCGAUGACUUCACCAACUCCGACGAGCUCCAACCGCAACUCCAAUCGGCCAUCAACCAGUUCCGCCUCUCCACCACGAACCCCAAUCGAGCUCGUUCUCUAGAUCCCCCAACUCAGAAUGAAGAAUCUGCUGCUGAAGAGCUGGCAUUUGAACAUGACAUAUCUGAAGAAUCUGCUGCAGAAUGAAGAAUCUGCUGCUAAAGAAUCUGCUACAGAAUGAAGAGCUGAUUUGUCUUUAAUGUGUUGUCAUUUGAUAUUAUUUAAUCUGCAGAAUGAAGAGCAGAAUGAAGAGCUGAUUUGUGUUUAAUCUGCUGGAGAAGCUGUUUAAUAUUAUUUGAACAAUGUGUGUUUAAUGUGUUGUCAUUUGAACAUGACAUAUCUGAUUUGUUACGGUGUGUUAUUUAUGGUUUAGAACCUGUAAGUUUUGGGAAUCUGCUGCUGAAGAGCAGGCAUUUGUUUGUUUUGGAACCUGUAAGUUAUUUAUGGUUUAGAAUAUUUAACGCCCAGUUGAGUGGUAUUUUUCCUCAUCACCA